UACGUAGGGGGCAAGCGUUGUCCGGAUUUAUUGGGCGUAAAGAGCGUGUAGGCUGCCAAGUAAGUCUGCUGUGAAAACUCGAGGCUUAACCUCGAGCUGUCGGCGGAAACUAUUUGGCUAGAGUCCGGAAGAGGAGAAUGGAAUUCCCGGUGUAGCGGUGAAAUGCGCAGAUAUCGGGAAGAACACCCGUGGCGAAGGCGGUUCUCUGGGACGGUACUGACGCUGAGACGCGAAAGCGUGGGGAGCGAACAGG
Molecule: ribosomal RNA, 253 nt
Filed under: uncultured bacterium
Lineage: Bacteria
Description: partial 16S ribosomal RNA
Rfam family: Bacterial small subunit ribosomal RNA
Source: RNAcentral